UAUGACUCCACCUCUCAUAGAAGCCUGAACCUGGAGGGCACUCCUUCUGUGAAGACACAGUCACCCUGAAGCUUUUCAGAAAGGCUGUCUAUGAACACACCCGUAUGGAGCUUUAGACAUCCAACCUGAUAUUACCAAGAUGACUGGGAGUUUGUGGCUAAUGCCUACAGAAGAAGAGAUGCAUCCCUUCCCAGACAUCUUAUCUGUUGCCCUGGGUAAUGAAGACAUUCAAUUUUUAAUUUUUUAAAAUUAUUAUUAUUUUUUGAGAUGGAGUCUUGCUCUGUCGCCUAUACUAGAGUACAGUGCCGCAGUUUUGGCUCACUCUAACCUCCGUCCCCUGGGUUCAACUGAUUCUCCUGCCUCAGCCUCCCAAGUAGCUGGGACCACAGGUGUGUGCUACCAUGCCUGGCUAAUUUUUAUAAUUUUUAGUAGAGAUGGGGUUUCACCAUGUUGGCCAGACUGGUGUCAAACUCCUGACCUCUAGUGAUCUGCCCGCCUUGGCCUCCCAAAA
This 511-nucleotide long non-coding RNA is filed under the name Homo sapiens (human). RNAcentral's name for it is "HSALNT0402213". Lineage: Eukaryota; Metazoa; Chordata; Mammalia; Primates; Hominidae. The record is from RNAcentral.